CGGCCUUCGGGUUGUAAAAUUCUGUGGCGAGGAACGAAUGGCAAGGAGAGGAAAUGCUCUUUGUUUGACGGUACCUCGCUAGAAAGCCACGGCUAACUACGUGCCAGCAGCCGCGGUAAUACGUAGGUGGCAAGCGUUAUCCGGAAUUAUUGGGCGUAAAGAGUGAGCAGGCGGUUUUUUAAGUCUGAAGUCAAAUCCUGUGGCUCAACCACAGUUCGCUUUGGAAACUGAAGAACUAGAGUGCGGGAGAGGUAAGCGGAAUUCCAUAUGUAGCGGUGAAAUGCACAGAUAUAUGGAGGAACACCGGUGGCGAAGGCGGCUUACCAGCCCGAUACUGACGCUCAGUCACGAAAGCGUGGGGAGCAAAUAGGCUUAGAUACCCUAGUAGUCCACGCCGUAAACGUUGAGGACCUGAUGCCGGAGUAUUUCGGUGUCGUAGCUAACGCGUUAAGUCCUCCGCCUGGGUACUACGUUCGCAAGAAUAAAACUUAAAGGAAUUGACGGGGGCCCGCACAAGCAGUGGAGCAUGUGGUUUAAUUCGUCGCUACGCGAAAAACCUUACCAGGGUUUGACAUCCCGCUAAAAGUCUUGGAAACAAGAUCAUAGUUAUAGCGGUGAAAGGUGGUGCAUGGUUGUCGUCAGCUCGUGUCGUGAGAUGUUGGGUUAAGUCCCCUAACGAGCGCAACCCUUGUCUCUAUUUGCCAUCAUUAAGUUGGGAACUAUAGAGAGACUGCCGGUGCAAACCGGAGGAAGAUGGGGAUGACGUCAAAUCAUCAUGCCCCUUAUGCCCUGGGCCACACACGUGCUACAAUGGCCGGUACAGAGAGAAGCAAUCCCGUGAGGAGGAGCAAAUCUCACAAAGCCGGUCUCAGUUCGGAUUGGAGUCUGCAACUCGACUCCAUGAAGCUGGAAUUGCUAGUAAUCGCAGAUCAGCAUGCUGCGGUGAAUACGUUCCCGGGCCUUGUACACACUGCCCGUCACACCAUGAGAGUCGGCAAUACUCGAAGUCGUUAUCUUAACCCGCAAGGGAGGGAGGCGCCUAAGGUAGGGCUGAUGAUUGGGGUUAAGUCGUAACAAGGUAUCCCUACGGGAACGUGGGGAUG
Molecule: ribosomal RNA, 1103 nt
Filed under: human gut metagenome
Description: bacterial SSU rRNA
Rfam family: Bacterial small subunit ribosomal RNA
Source: RNAcentral